This 553-nucleotide long non-coding RNA is filed under the name Sparus aurata (gilthead seabream). RNAcentral's name for it is "lncRNA (ENSSAUG00010026083.1)". The record is from RNAcentral. Lineage: Eukaryota; Metazoa; Chordata; Actinopteri; Spariformes; Sparidae.
CACCCAACCUCCAACCCCGCCGUGUAAAAUGGGAGCAUUGUGACUGCAGACCUGCUCUCAUCUUCAUGUACACUUUCUUUUUUCCCCUUCUCCCAGUACAUAAUGACCCCAGACUAUGUGACGACAGGCAUUGUAUCCGACCAACACAGGCAUUAAAGAUGAGGAUCUGAUUCUGAGGCAGCUGCCGUCACUGCUUCCAGCUACAUUUAAGAAAUUUCCCUCCAUCAAACUUCAGAGUGAACAAAGCGGCCACACUACACCUGACAGAUGGCUGAGCUUCAGGCAGCGGUGCAGCAGUGUAAUUGGAAGACGAGGCUCUCCGUCCCCGGCUUGUAAUAUCUGUGAGGUGGAGAUGGAGGGACUGCUGCGGAUGGAGGAGCUGCAGCAGCCGGGGCUGUGUUGCCGCUCCGCACAGACACCGGGACCAGAGCCGCAGCCUGCAAAUGAAUCCGAAAAUAAUGAAGAGCCGCUGGACACACACCUCUUCUUCCUCUUCCCCUUCUUCUUUUUCUUCCUCAUCAUCUUCUUUCACCACCAUGCGGAGGCUCUCUGA